CAAUAGCGUAUAUUAAAGUUGUUGCAGUUAAAAAGCUCGUAGUUGGAUUUCUGGUAGGAGUGACCGUGCCAGACUUGAUUGUCUGUGUAUUGUGUUGUCUCCAGCCAUCCUUGUGGAGAACUUUUCUUGCAUUAAUUUGUAGGGAUUGGGACCCGCAUCGUUUACUGUGAAAAAAUUAGAGUGUUUAAAGCAGGCAAUCGCUUGAAUACAUUAGCAUGGAAUAAUAAGAUAGGACUUUGGUACUAUUUUGUUGGUUUGCAUACCAAAUUAAUGAUCAACAGGAACAGUUUGAGGAUAUUCGUAUGAACAUGUCAGAGGUGAAAUUCUUGGAUCUUGAUCAGACGAACUACUGCGAAAGCAUUUAGCAAGGAUGUUUUCAUUAA
Molecule: ribosomal RNA, 383 nt
Filed under: uncultured eukaryote
Lineage: Eukaryota
Description: partial 18S ribosomal RNA
Rfam family: Eukaryotic small subunit ribosomal RNA
Source: RNAcentral